Long non-coding RNA from Bos taurus (domestic cattle), 1519 nucleotides. The record is from Ensembl. NCBI's taxonomy places the organism in Eukaryota, Metazoa, Chordata, Mammalia, Artiodactyla, Bovidae.
GGCUGGUCUGUUGCUGGGCAAGGAGAAACGCUUCCUUCUCAGCGGGUGAGAAGUAGUAACCUUCCUGGUGGGAUGAAAAAGGUGGAAUUCACAGGAUGGAAUUGCUGGCCAUACAGUAACUCUACUUUUACCCUUUGGAGGAAUAGCCACUGUCGUCUAUGGCAGCUGCACAGUUUCAUCUCCCACCGUCCGUGGACAAGGAUUCUAGCCUCCCCACACCCUGGUCCACACUUGGUGACUGCUGUAUGGACACCAUCCACCCUUGCAGUCGGGAUGUGCAGUGUUGCUGUGGUCUGACUUUCGUUCCCUUUGUGAUGCUGAGCAUCUUUUCAUGGGCAUGUUGGUUGGCUGAUCAUCUAUUUUUGCAGAAAUGGAGAGGAAUUUGGAGUCUUUGCCUUUGCCCCCACCCCUCUGGGUGAAUGUCAAGUAGCCGCCACCCCUUGGCCCAUCGAAAUGAGAGUGAAUUGGUGACAGACCAUCUCCACCCCAGGAAGGAGACACUUCUGUGAAAACCAUGGCACCACAUGCAUGCCUGCUGGUGUGUUCAGACUGAGAGGGGCCCAUCCUGUUCCCUGGGGGGCAGUCAUCAGGAGCCUCCCGCACAGGUGGCCCUGAGGCGCUCUAGCCAGCAGCCCGCGAUGUGGGAUCAGGUGUCCAUUCCCUGCUAUAAACUAUUGAUGCCAGUGAUGUCAGCCACUCAAGGUCUGUGAGUCUCAGGUGUUACUGGCGGAGAAACCGGAGGGCUGCUGCUGCUCUGUCCUGGAGUCCCACAGCCCACCUGGGAGGCACAGUUCUUCCCCUUCCUGGAUCGUUCCAGAAUUAGCUUCUUACCAGGAAGGCUCCCACUCCCAAGGAGUCCUGACCUCCAGGAAGCAGGACUGCAGAGGCCCAGGAGGGUUUCGUUGAAUUGGGCUAUCUCCCUGCAGGCCCCUAUGGCCCCAGAAAACAUUCAGAAAUACCAGAGUGUCUGGGCUGAAUCUCUUUGGCUCACAGCAUCCUCUGUGGGGCUGUCCUAGGAGCUGUGGGGUGUGGGGAGGCCUCCCUGUCCCCACCCACUCAAUGUCAGGAGCCUCCCUCUGCCCCAAGACAAGCACAGAUGUCCCCACAUGCACCCCGGUGUGCCCGGGGGCAGAAUCUCCCCAGGUGAGAACCGCUGCUUUACUGUGGUUAAUUCUGGUCUUGGAUUUGGUCUGGCCUUUUCAAGCCGGUCUCACACACAUCCAGGGUCACAAGCCAAGAUUUGGACAAGGCAUUGACCGACUUUCCCAGAGCAAGUUCCAGACGAGGCAGCCCAGGGUGUGGCCAGGGAAAGUCUGGGGUCUCCACUCCCCUCACCCGGGCCCAUGUCCAGCCUGGAUCCCGAAGGCAGCCAUGUGUUGCCCCAUGACCCCGCAGACAGGCAGUGGGGGUUGGGGGGCAGGUGAGCAGGUGGCCUCAGAUCGCUUACAGCUGGGCUCAUGUUCCUUAUCGAGAUGUUGUCCUUGUCAUGAAUUUUGCAAGCUCGUGGAAGCAGCUGCCC